UGUUGAAACAAUCUCUGGUGAGCUAAGUCCCAAGUCAUGUUCACUGGAGUUUGUUUCAACACU
RNAcentral lists this microRNA precursor (63 nucleotides) under Dasypus novemcinctus (nine-banded armadillo). RNAcentral describes it as "microRNA dno-mir-653 precursor". Its record names the gene dno-mir-653. Lineage: Eukaryota; Metazoa; Chordata; Mammalia; Cingulata; Dasypodidae. The record is from miRBase by way of RNAcentral.